Long non-coding RNA from Capsella rubella, 420 nucleotides. RefSeq lists it as uncharacterized. The transcript has 2 exons. NCBI's taxonomy places the organism in Eukaryota, Viridiplantae, Streptophyta, Magnoliopsida, Brassicales, Brassicaceae. The record is from RefSeq and is a predicted model, not a curated record.
UUGUUUCAUAUAUUCAGUAGCCAGCUUUACACAAAACAUACAGUAAGAAAGGAGCAAUGGGUUUCACAAAAAUCUUAGUGACUUGCUCUUUUGUAGUUAUAAUGGUUGUUUCGUUGUCCACCCAAAACGAUAUGGUAUCAGGGAUCCGAGCUAACAAAGGGGAGGUCCACAUGAAAUGCUUUGAAAAACUUUUAUGCAGCAUCACAUAUCAAGCAAAUAACUGCACCAACUACUGCUUAAAAGUCGGGUAUCAGACAGGAGAUUGCCGUCCUCCAUAUAGGCAGCCUGAGAAACCUUUCGUUUGUUGUUGUUAUUAUAUAUAAUGAUGAAUCUUUUAAAUUACAUCUUUUAUGAGAGAGAGGUCACUGUGGUUUCUCUUUAUAUUAUUAAUGCCAUGAAAUAAAAACCCAUCUUUGAACA